Molecule: ribosomal RNA, 753 nt
Filed under: uncultured soil bacterium
Lineage: Bacteria
Description: bacterial SSU rRNA
Rfam family: Bacterial small subunit ribosomal RNA
Source: RNAcentral
AGAGUUUGAUCAUGGCUCAGGAUAAACGCUGGCGGCGUGCCUAAUACAUGCAAGUCGAGCGGUAAGGCUCCUUCGGGAGUACACGAGCGGCGGACGGCUGAGUAAGGCGUAGGAACAUACCCCAAAGUGAGGGAUAAGCACCAGAAAUGGUGUCUAAUACCGCAUGUGGUCUUCGGAUUAAAGCUUCGGCGCUUUGGGAAUGGCCUGCGUAUGAUUAGCUUGUUGGUGAGGUAAUAGCUCACCAAGGCGACGAUCAUUAGCUGGUCUGAGAGGAUGAUCAGCCAGACUGGGACUGAGACACGGCCCAGACUCCUACGGGAGGCAGCAGUAGGGAAUUUUCCACAAUGGGCGAAAGCCUGAUGGAGCAACGCCGCGUGCAGGAUGAAUGCCUUCGGGUUGUAAACUGCUUUUCUCUGUGACGAUAAUGACGGUAACAGAGGAAUAAGGAUCGGCUAAUUCCGUGCCAGCAGCCGCGGUCAUACGGAAGAUCCAAGCGUUAUCCGGAAUUACUGGGCGUAAAGAGUUGCGUAGGUGGCAGAGUAAGCAAAUAGUGAAAUCGUGUGGCUCAACCAUACACCCAUUAUUUGAACUGCUCAGCUAGAGGGCGAGAGAGGUAGCUGGAAUUCCUAGUGUAGGAGUGAAAUCCGUAGAUAUUAGGAGGAACACCGAUGGCGUAGGCAGGCUACUGGCUCGUCCCUGACACUAAGGCACGAAAGCGUGGGGAGCGACCGGGAUUAGAUACCCCCGUAGUCC